This 256-nucleotide long non-coding RNA is filed under the name Brassica napus (rape). RNAcentral's name for it is "long non-coding RNA (BNAP_LNC021213)". Lineage: Eukaryota; Viridiplantae; Streptophyta; Magnoliopsida; Brassicales; Brassicaceae. The record is from RNAcentral.
AGGCUCGCCUGCUAUGAAGAAUAGUAGUGCCUUUAUCAUCACGCAAAAUCCAACCAACUCCACACAAAUCCUGAUUAUUAAUCCAUGACACUCCUAUAUUGCAUUUUAGAUACCCCGACGGAGGUCUUGUCCAAGAGGGGGAGUUCUGUAGCGUUGUCAAGGAGGUUUGUGUACCUUCAUUUCCAAGCACAUUGAGCUCAAACCACACAUUCGCUUCUUCUUUCGCUUUCAAUAAGACUGAGACAGAGGAGUAGUG